UAGCCAUGCGAGUCGCGAGGGUUCGGCCCUCGGCUGACGGCUCAGUAACACGNGNGANAAUCUGCCCUUAGGUGGAGGAUAACCUCGGGAAACUGAGAAUAAGACUCCAUAGAUCUAGGAGGCUGGAAUGCACUUAGAUCAAAAACUUCGGUGCCUAAGGAUGAGUCUGCGGACUAUCAGGUAGUAGUCAGGGUAAUGACCUGACCAGCCUACGACGGAUACGGGUUGUGAGAGCAAUAACCCGGAGAUGAUAUCUGAGACACGAUAUCAGGCCCUACGGGGCGCAGCAGGCGCGAAAACUUCACACUGUGCGAAAGCACGAUGAGGGAAUCCCAAGUGCUGGCUCGUAAGAGUCAGCUGUUUUUCUGUCUAGAAAACAGAGAGAGUAAGAGCUGGGUAAGACGGGUGCCAGCCGCCGCGGUAAUACCUGCAGCUCAAGUGGUGGCCGCUAUUAUUGGGCCUAAAACGUUCGUAGCCGGUCUAGUAAAUGCCUGGGUAAAUCAUACGGCUUAACCGUACGAAUUCCGGGUAGACUGCUGGACUUGGGACUGGGAGAGGCUAGAGGUACUCCUGGGGUAGAGGUGAAAUUCUGUAAUCCUAGGGGGACGACCAGUGGCGAAGGCGUCUAGCUAGAACAGGUCUGACGGUGAGGAACGAAGCCCUGGGGCGCAAACGGGAUUAGAUACCCCGGUAGUCCAGGGUGUAAACGCUGCUUGCUUGAUGUUAGUCGGGCUCCGAGCCCGAUUAGUGUCGGAGAGAAGUUGUUUAAGCAAGCUGCCUGGGGAGUACGGGCCGCAAGACUGAAACUUAAAGGAAUUGGCCGGGGG
RNAcentral lists this ribosomal RNA (827 nucleotides) under uncultured archaeon. RNAcentral's name for it is "bacterial SSU rRNA". It matches the Rfam family "Archaeal small subunit ribosomal RNA", at positions 46 to 875 of the family's 1478-position model. The record is from RNAcentral.